RNAcentral lists this ribosomal RNA (326 nucleotides) under Samaris cristatus (cockatoo righteye flounder). Its description in RNAcentral is "partial 12S ribosomal RNA". It matches the Rfam family "Bacterial small subunit ribosomal RNA", at positions 868 to 1360 of the family's 1533-position model. Lineage: Eukaryota; Metazoa; Chordata; Actinopteri; Pleuronectiformes; Samaridae. The record is from RNAcentral.
UCCGCCCGGAAAUUACGAACGUCAGUUUAAAACCCAAAGGACCUGGCGGUGCUUAACAUCCCCCUAGAGGAGCCUGUUCUAGAACCGAUAACCCCCGUUAAACCUCACCUUUUCUUGCCCUUCCCGCCUAUAUAUCGCCGCCGUCAGCUUACCCUGUGAAGGCUCUAAAGUAAACGAAAUUGAUCACAGUCCAAAACGUCAGGUCAAGGUGUAGCGUAUGAAAAGGAAAGAAAUGGGCUACAUUCACUAAGUUAGUGAAAACGAAUAUUAUACUGAAAAACAUAAUUGAAGGAGGAUUUAGUAGUAAGCAAGGAAUAGAGUGCCCU